Amphiprion ocellaris (clown anemonefish) is the source of this 621-nucleotide long non-coding RNA. The record is from Ensembl. Lineage: Eukaryota; Metazoa; Chordata; Actinopteri; Pomacentridae.
CUUUGAGCUAACUAUUUGUUAUUUUUACCUCACUAUUUGUCACUUAUAGCCAGCCAUUGUUACUUUUAGCUGACAUUUUCACUAACAUCAACCAUUUAUUUCAAGUUAUUAUGGGGUUAAAUUCAAAUUAAUUUAAGGUUAUUUUCGGGUUGGUUUCAGGUUAUUUUCGGAUUAAUUUAAGGUUAUUUUCGGGUUGGUUUCAGGUUAUUUUUGGGUUAAUUUAAGGUUAUUUUCGGGUUGGUUUCAGGUUAUUUUUGGGUUAAUUUAAGGUUGUUUUUGGGUUAAUUUCAGUUUUUUUUCAGGUUAGUUUAAGGUUAUUUUCGGGUUAGUUUCAGGUUAUUUUUGGGUUAAUUUAAGGUUAUUUUCGGGUUGGUUUCAGGUUAUUUUUGGGUUAAUUUAAGGUUGUUUUUGGGUUAAUUUCAGUUUUUUUUCAGAUUAGUUUAAGGUUGUUUUCGGGUUAUUUUUGGGUUAGUUUCAGGUUAUUUUUGGGUUAAUUUAAGGUUAUUUUCGGGUUAAUUUAAGGUUAGUUUCAGGUUAUUUUCAGGUUAAUUUAAGGUUAUUUUUGGGUUAGUUUCAGGUUAUUUUCAUGUUAAUUUAAGGUUAUUUUCGGGUUGGUUUCAG